GGUACAGGGCCGCUGGUGAAGGCUUAUCGACUGCGGAUCGAGAGGUCGUGGGUUCGAGUCCCACCCGUUCCCCCA
Molecule: transfer RNA, 75 nt
Filed under: Deinococcus koreensis
Lineage: Bacteria; Thermotogati; Deinococcota; Deinococci; Deinococcales; Deinococcaceae
Description: tRNA-Arg
Rfam family: tRNA
About the family: Transfer RNA (tRNA) molecules are approximately 80 nucleotides in length.
Source: RNAcentral